UCCAAGUACCUUAAUGUCCUCGACCUCCAUCCACUUGGAGAGGGGGCGGUGCUAGUUGACGCCUAGGCCGCCGCCGCAGAUGAACGUGGAGGGUACGCCACCGGGGAUGGGAAGGAUGGGGUCGAGCAUCCAUGAGGUGAGGGGAGGGGCUCCGCGUCCGCUUUGGAAAGGAUCUCUAGAUUGACCGGUGAGGCGAGUGGAGAGGCAGCGCUGAUGGAUGGAGAGGGGAUGGGAAUA
This 237-nucleotide long non-coding RNA is filed under the name Setaria viridis. RNAcentral's name for it is "long non-coding RNA (SVIR_LNC009451)". The record is from RNAcentral. Lineage: Eukaryota; Viridiplantae; Streptophyta; Magnoliopsida; Poales; Poaceae.